Molecule: long non-coding RNA, 2337 nt
Organism: Sycon ciliatum
Lineage: Eukaryota; Metazoa; Porifera; Calcarea; Leucosolenida; Sycettidae
Exons: 6
Source: RefSeq, a predicted model, not a curated record
ACAAAGCCCGCUGACGCCGUCUUUUCAUGUUCAGGCCUUCAGGAAUGGCCGAAAUUCCAAAAUUUGUGGUGGACUCUACCUGGCCCUCGUCGUUUCAGAGGCCGGUCAAGGGCAAUCAAAGGGUGUUUUCGACUCCGUACGGAUACCUUCCACCCCAAUAUGAUAUUAGUUUGAGGAUGGGCUGCAUGAAGCGCAGUUACACGGCUGAUGUUUGUUGGACACUCGUCAUUUCAUUUGCAUUCAUCAAUCAUUGGGCUCGAAAGAACUGGCUGAUUCAUCGUCACUGGAGGAUUCACUGCUGCUGCUGCUGUGUUCCAGGGACACUACAAGCCCGCCGGUGUUGGUGCAGUGGCGACAUUUGCACCCAGGACUACAGAUUUUGCCAGAUUUCCGGCAUUUGCAUCGCUUUGACUCGCAGCUACCCUUCUUGCAGCUGCAACCCUUGGUCAAAGCCAAGACCCGUUGCCUCACCACCUCUGCAUGCUCCUCUAGCUCCCAAUGAAUAGAAAGUGCAUUGCCACACAAAAGCCACCCAUUUCCAUUCAAUGGUGGGCACUGUACUGUGGGUCGCUCAGCCUGGCGCCACAUAUCCAAUACCCAGCAAGCACGUUUCCAGUGAAGAAGCAGGGCAGACGCUGAUGGUACACAAUCAUCUUCCGAAUCAACUCGUUGCCAAACAGCAUCCCUGAUCUUUGACAGCCAGGUAUUGUGCUGGUCCACUGGUGUCUCUGUAGCUUGUUGUUUGAACAAUGGGUGCGGGCUGUUGGCUUCAAAAGCUGCAACAUGCUUUUGAUAGUAUGCUGUGCCCACGAGUCGUAGGAAUGCCAAGUAUCCACGCUGUCCGUUCUGCCUGUGUGUGUCACUCAGCAGUCCCAAUGCAUCCACGCCGCUCGUGAUGAAUGAAGCAUAUUAUUGGAACAUGAUCUUGUAGAAUGUUAAUUUGCUGAUGCCAGAGAAGUAGGACAAGUAGUCGCACCCAGUCAGAACGAAUAGUGCUUGCAGUAGCAUCAGACGACUAUCGCUGGGCACCUUGGCCAAAUCUGGAUCGCCAUUGAUGGCCUUGGCCAAUUUGCUUAGGAGCAAAAACCUCUGUUCCAGUGCACCAGGCAUAUCCAGUUGUACAGCAAUACUUCUGUCUGCAACUUCCCGUCCAGAUAGGGCGACAUGAUAGGUGUCCGUGUCUGGACUGUACACGACUACUGGGUCGUUUGCUGCCGCGUGACGCCACACUCGAAAGUCGGCCUCUUCUGCAUCGGACGCAUACACGUCUAGCUGUUUUACCACUGGAUCACCGUACGCUGUCCCAAGUGCCUUGCCAGUGAAGUCCCCGUCCAAGCCACCUCCGGUCACAAAGGCUUGAUGCGGUUGCCGGAGAAAGUGCAGGGAAUUGAAGAGGCUAAACGUGGUAAUAAAAUUAACUAACAUUCUCUUGCAUUUCCGACAAGACAAGAACUUCCUCCAGCUCUUUGGCAGUGCCAUGUCUCCGGUGAUUGACUCAUGGUUGCAGCACAGCUCUGAUGUGCACAGGGUAGACGCAUCGCCCACGGCAUCACUUUGCUCCCGAAGAAGAUCCUUCGGGCUGACACCAGCUACGUUUGGGUGGUCGAAGACCAGGUGAACCGACUGUAUGCCCAACCUAUACCACGGCGUUAUCCACCGUUGGAUGAGGAACGUGGCAUAAUCCGCGAAUGUCCGGUACGCAAUCAAUGCUGUCGUUGAGGAGGGCUAGCGCUUGGGAUGCGGAGGAUCCGACUCUCAACAUACGCAAGAAUUAUUGCAGAACAAUGAGCCAUGGCCACUGCACGUUAGUCUGAGCGUGUUUGACAGUGACUGGGGUUCAUAAUUAUGAUGACUCCAUUGUCAAGGACAUAUGUGCUGGUCAGAUGAUGCAUAAUUCGACACUGCAUAUCCUGUUCUACACAUGUGUGCCAUUUCUGCGACCAUCUAUCAAGCUCUGGUAAAGUGAUGCUGUUUCUUGAUCGAUUAUACAUGAUCUUGGGUCAUAUCUGACAAGCACCCUUAACUGGAAUUACUUGCAAACUGUGGAAGCACCAACCUUUGUCAGUAACAUUAUACCUUUUGUUGGACGUCUACUUUCUUACGAAUUAGUGGUAGUGUAGCGUUGGCACGCUGGUGACUUUCACAGCGUAUAGCGUAUAUUUUUAGCUUAUCCCCGUACGUUAGCGUAUUCCCGUACGUUAGCGUAUCCUCAUACGUUAGUGUAAGGAGUCUGCCUGUGUAUAAAAGCUGCUGCUCACGAUUCUUUUCGUUGCCAGUUAGUUUACCUUCAUUUCAGUUCAGUUCAGUGUUUAAUAAAUAACAGUGUGUUCAUUGAGA